Molecule: long non-coding RNA, 207 nt
Organism: Macrobrachium nipponense
Lineage: Eukaryota; Metazoa; Arthropoda; Malacostraca; Decapoda; Palaemonidae
Exons: 3
Source: RefSeq, a predicted model, not a curated record
CGACGACUGGCGGCUCACGUCCGAUUCUCCUUCCACUUCCCGACCCUUACAUCACUUGGACACGAGACCCCAUCGCUGGUCCUCCGUGUGUGCCCCGCAUUUGCAGACUCCAGCAGAACCACCUCAAGCCUAACGGCCAGGAAGAUCCUGGGGUGCCCUAACUGCAGUGGCAAGAAAUAGGAAGCAUUGUAUUCGGGAUGGAAUUGU